Molecule: ribosomal RNA, 1372 nt
Filed under: uncultured bacterium
Lineage: Bacteria
Description: bacterial SSU rRNA
Rfam family: Bacterial small subunit ribosomal RNA
Source: RNAcentral
GAUGAACGCUGGCGGCGUGCCUAAUACAUGCAAGUCGAGCGAACGGACGAGAAGCUUGCUUCUCUGAUGUUAGCGGCGGACGGGUGAGUAACACGUGGAUAACCUACCUAUAAGACUGGGAUAACUUCGGGAAACCGGAGCUAAUACCGGAUAAUAUUUUGAACCGCAUGGUUCAAAAGUGAAAGACGGUCUUGCUGUCACUUAUAGAUGGAUCCGCGCUGCAUUAGCUAGUUGGUAAGGUAACGGCUUACCAAGGCAACGAUGCAUAGCCGACCUGAGAGGGUGAUCGGCCACACUGGAACUGAGACACGGUCCAGACUCCUACGGGAGGCAGCAGUAGGGAAUCUUCCGCAAUGGGCGAAAGCCUGACGGAGCAACGCCGCGUGAGUGAUGAAGGUCUUCGGAUCGUAAAACUCUGUUAUUAGGGAAGAACAUAUGUGUAAGUAACUGUGCACAUCUUGACGGUACCUAAUCAGAAAGCCACGGCUAACUACGUGCCAGCAGCCGCGGUAAUACGUAGGUGGCAAGCGUUAUCCGGAAUUAUUGGGCGUAAAGCGCGCGUAGGCGGUUUUUUAAGUCUGAUGUGAAAGCCCACGGCUCAACCGUGGAGGGUCAUUGGAAACUGGAAAACUUGAGUGCAGAAGAGGAAAGUGGAAUUCCAUGUGUAGCGGUGAAAUGCGCAGAGAUAUGGAGGAACACCAGUGGCGAAGGCGACUUUCUGGUCUGUAACUGACGCUGAUGUGCGAAAGCGUGGGGAUCAAACAGGAUUAGAUACCCUGGUAGUCCACGCCGUAAACGAUGAGUGCUAAGUGUUAGGGGGUUUCCGCCCCUUAGUGCUGCAGCUAACGCAUUAAGCACUCCGCCUGGGGAGUACGACCGCAAGGUUGAAACUCAAAGGAAUUGACGGGGACCCGCACAAGCGGUGGAGCAUGUGGUUUAAUUCGAAGCAACGCGAAGAACCUUACCAAAUCUUGACAUCCUUUGACAACUCUAGAGAUAGAGCUUUCCCCUUCGGGGGACAAAGUGACAGGUGGUGCAUGGUUGUCGUCAGCUCGUGUCGUGAGAUGUUGGGUUAAGUCCCGCAACGAGCGCAACCCUUAAGCUUAGUUGCCAUCAUUAAGUUGGGCACUCUAAGUUGACUGCCGGUGACAAACCGGAGGAAGGUGGGGAUGACGUCAAAUCAUCAUGCCCCUUAUGAUUUGGGCUACACACGUGCUACAAUGGACAAUACAAAGGACAGCGAAACCGCGAGGUCAAGCAAAUCCCAUAAAGUUGUUCUCAGUUCGGAUUGUAGUCUGCAACUCGACUACAUGAAGCUGGAAUCGCUAGUAAUCGUAGAUCAGCAUGCUACGGUGAAUACGUUCCCGGGUCU